RNAcentral lists this transfer RNA (71 nucleotides) under Sterigmatomyces sp. Its description in RNAcentral is "tRNA-Lys". It matches the Rfam family "tRNA". Rfam says of the family: Transfer RNA (tRNA) molecules are approximately 80 nucleotides in length. Their secondary structure includes four short double-helical elements and three loops (D, anti-codon, and T loops). Lineage: Eukaryota; Fungi; Basidiomycota; Agaricostilbomycetes; Agaricostilbales; Agaricostilbaceae. The record is from RNAcentral.
AGGCUUGUAGCUCAAUGGUAGAGCUUCCGACUCUUAAUCGAAAGACGAUGGUUCGAUUCCAUCCAGGCCUA